Molecule: ribosomal RNA, 814 nt
Filed under: uncultured Halobacteria archaeon
Lineage: Archaea; Methanobacteriati; Methanobacteriota; Halobacteria
Description: bacterial SSU rRNA
Rfam family: Archaeal small subunit ribosomal RNA
Source: RNAcentral
GUGUAAGUCCAUUGGGAAAUCCACGCGCUCAACGCGUGGGCGUCCGGUGGAAACUGCAGAGCUUGGGGCCGAGAGACUCGACGGGUACGUCCGGGGUAGGAGUGAAAUCCCGUAAUCCCGGACGGACCGCCGGUAGCGAAAGCGCCUCGAGAGGACGGACCCGACGGUGAGGGACGAAAGCCAGGGUCUCGAACCGGAUUAGAUACCCGGGUAGUCCUGGCCGUAAACGAUGCUCGCUAGGUGUGGCGCAGGCUACGAGCCUGCGCUGUGCCGAAGGGAAGCCGUGAAGCGAGCCGCCUGGGCAAGUACGUCUGCAAGGAUGGAACUUAAAGGAAUUGGCGGGGGAGCACAACAACCGGAGGAGCCUGCGGUUUAAUUGGACUCAACGCCGGAAAUCUCACCGGCACCGACAGCAGUAAUGACGGUCAGGUUGAUGACCUUGCCCGAGCUGCUGAGAGGAGGUGCAUGGCCGCCGUCAGCUCGUACCGUGAGGCGUCCUGUUAAGUCAGGCAACGAGCGAGACCCGCACUUCUAGUUGCCAGCAACACCAUUGGUGGUUGGGUACACUAGAAGGACUGCCGCUGCCAAAGCGGAGGAAGGAACGGGCAACGGUAGGUCAGUAUGCCCCGAAUGUGCCGGGCGACACGCGGGCUACAAUGGCCGGGACAGUGGGAUGCCAUCCCGAGAGGGAAAGCUAAUCCCCUAAACCCGGUCGUAGUUCGGAUUGAGGGCUGAAAUUCGCCCUCAUGAAGCUGGAUUCGGUAGUAAUCGCGUGUCAGCAGCGCGCGGUGAAUACGUCCCUGCUCCUUGCACA